UUGUCCUACGGGAGGCAGCAGUGGGGAAUAUUGCACAAUGGGGGAAACCCUGAUGCAGCGACGCCGCGUGAGCGAUGAAGUAUUUCGGUAUGUAAAGCUCUCUCAGCAGGGAAGAAGAUGACGGUACCUGACUAAGAAGCCCCGGCUAACUACGUGCCAGCAGCCGCGGUAAUACGUAGGGGGCGAGCGUUAUCCGGAUUUACUGGGUGUAAAGGGAGCGUAGACGGUUCUGCAAGUCUGAAGUGAAAGCCCGUGGCUUAACCGCGGAACGGCUUUGGAAACUGUGUAACUGUAGUGCUGGAGAG
This 305-nucleotide ribosomal RNA is filed under the name uncultured bacterium. Its description in RNAcentral is "bacterial SSU rRNA". It matches the Rfam family "Bacterial small subunit ribosomal RNA", at positions 334 to 656 of the family's 1533-position model. The record is from RNAcentral.